UAAAAAUUAGAGCUAAUUGAAAGCUAAAAUAAAGACUAGUAAAUUAGUAAAUUUUUGUUUUUCUAGGUAUAGAAUAAGAUCAAAGCCUUCCAAUUCAUUAGAUUCGAGAUCUGUGAUUAAGAAAGAUUUCUUUUGUUUUUCUCGCUUUGUAAAAUAUUUGCUAAUUAGAUUAUGUUUUUGUUCAAAGAAGUAAUUAUACAUUCUAAGGCUUCAUUUAUUUAGUAGAAUAUAAUAAUACAAAAAAUAUUUUUUAAA
This 255-nucleotide unclassified non-coding RNA is filed under the name Hevea brasiliensis (rubber tree). The record is from RNAcentral. Lineage: Eukaryota; Viridiplantae; Streptophyta; Magnoliopsida; Malpighiales; Euphorbiaceae.